Dioscorea cayenensis subsp. rotundata (Guinea yam) is the source of this 602-nucleotide long non-coding RNA. RefSeq lists it as uncharacterized. The transcript is spliced from 5 exons. The record is from RefSeq and is a predicted model, not a curated record. Lineage: Eukaryota; Viridiplantae; Streptophyta; Magnoliopsida; Dioscoreales; Dioscoreaceae.
UCUUAUCUUGGAGCCGCUGGUCUUCCAUUCUCUCCGAAAGCUCCACGCUUUCUGGCUCCCCUCGCUCCACUGUGCUUGCUUCUCCUCUCCCUCGCUGCUACUCCUCUUCCGCCAUCUCACCACCCUACUCUUUCCGUCCUAUCCUCAGACGCCGCUCCAUUCGUCCCUGAUCUCCCCGUUUCUACAUCUCUGCCAAUGACGCCGCGAAAGUAGCGGAGAUGAAGAAGGUCCUCAUUGUCAACACCAACAGAGGUGGCCACACCGUCAUCGUUUUUUAUCUUGCCCAUGAUCUCCUCACCUCUGGCCACGAGGUCACCAUUCUGACGGUUGGAGAUGUGAGCUCUGAUAAGAUGAAGAAACCCCCCUUCAAUCAGUUCUCGGAGUUAGUGAUCAGCAGUGUUUGAUGUGGUUUUGGAUAACAAUGGGAAGGAUUUGGAUACUUUGAAAUAAAUCAAGAUAAGGCCAAGGGAUACGUAGCGUUCUGAUCUUCCAACCGGCAAAGUCGGAGAAGAUAAUCAUUCAAACUGUCUGGAAGGUCAGGAAAGAUGGCAUUGAAGCAGGAACCAAUCUCAUGCCGGACAUAGUUCCAAGACCAAUUGCAA